This 100-nucleotide transfer RNA is filed under the name Cronartium ribicola 11-2. Its description in RNAcentral is "tRNA-Und (NNN) (tRNA-Und-NNN-126-1)". The record is from RNAcentral. Lineage: Eukaryota; Fungi; Basidiomycota; Pucciniomycetes; Pucciniales; Coleosporiaceae.
UGUCAGAUAGCCUAGUGGUAUAUAAGGUAGUACACCUAGCAAAUGGGUAUCAGCUAAAAAAAAAACACCAAGGUCCCUGGUUUGAAUCCAGGUCUGAUAA